RNAcentral lists this unclassified non-coding RNA (4908 nucleotides) under Leishmania donovani. Its description in RNAcentral is "gene:LdHU3.20.1290(CDS-product:hypothetical_prote in_conserved)". Lineage: Eukaryota; Euglenozoa; Kinetoplastea; Trypanosomatida; Trypanosomatidae. The record is from RNAcentral.
UUCGUUUCGUUUUCGCCUCCCACAUCUCCGCUUGCUCCCGCUCGUUUUUAUUUCCUCCUCUUGCUCCUCCUCCGCCUGUUUGCGCCCGCCCCACACAAACACACGCACACAACACUACGAUCACCACCACCAGCACCGCCCUUCACGCUGGACCUCGCCGCGCAUCAGCACUACACAAGGGGCUUAUUCGAGAAACAAAAGGAGCUGCUGCUGAAGAGGAGGGCAGCAAAAUUACACUGAGAACGGGGAAAAGGACAUCCACACACGCACACGCACACGCACACGCACGCACACACGCGCGCACCGCUGUAUGCGCACGGGUAGCAGAAGGAGAUAUUUACGCACAGACCGAGCAAGCGCUGAUUGUUCCUGGUUCCCGGCUCUUUUUUUUUUCGCAGCCGUGGCAUCUUCGGCGACGUAGGGUUUCGUGUGUGUUUGUGUGAUCACUUCUUUUGUAUUGCUGGGUGCCUCAUCAUCGCACCAUUUCACUGGCUCACCCUCCCUCUCUCGGUAGCUUAACCUCUGUUGGUGCCCUCCGCCCCCUUUACUACUUCGCUCGUUAAGAAACGUCUCGCCUUUCCUUUCUCGUCUUCCCCCUGCCCUUUCGCUGUCGCCGUCUCCGCCGGAUUCCAGAGGUCGCUGCAUUGUGUUUUCCCUCGAGAACACAUUUCUGCUUUGCGCACCGAAGGGCGCACGUCACCGACUGCGGCUCAAAGGCAAUCUGAGAGCGCAGGGCAACUGUGGUGAAACUGGAAGAGCUUUUCCCGAGCAUGAUUCCGCUCCUUCGCAUGUACGGCUGACGUUGGCGCCACCACUUACAGAAAACAGCGCGUACGAAACGAGCAGGGAGUCGAACUGCAACGGAAAAAAAAAAGAAAAAGGAGCGGUGCUACCCUGCCGCUGUGUGUGUGCGCGCGCGCGUGACAAUAGGUGCUAUCUGGUGUUGGUGGCCGUGCGGUUUUCCUCCUCUUUGGUCGUUUGUGUUCGCGAUCGUUGACGCCUCUACUCGCUGCCCUGCCCCUACCAACAUCACCACCCUUCUCUUUCUCCCCUCAUUCGACUUUGUAUAUCCUGUGAUAUUUGGUUUCGUCGUGGCUUGGCAGGUCGUUGACGCAGUGCACGGUCCGCCCUUCGGUCUCCCUCGGUUCUGUACGCUGCGCAUCCUCCCGCUGCCUCUUCCUUGUUCCAUCUUUUCACCUCCGCUUGUUUGUUUUUCGGGUUGUUUCGUGUGUCUCCCUCCCCCCGUCCUCAUCUCGGUUCGAUCCUUUCAGCUCGGUCUUUUCUUUCUCACCGCUGUUCCGCUCUCUCUCGUGCCAUUAUCAUCCUGCCUUUGUGGGCGGGUGGCGAGAAAAGGGGUUGUUGCCUCGUGGAGCUGCAGGCGCCCGCCGUCACCAGAGUCCCCAGGGCGACGCCACCCAUCACUCCCCCAACCACCACGCUUCGUCAUCGCUUCCGUGUGUAGGCGUGAGCUGGGAGGGUGUGUCUGUGGACUCGCUCGUGCUGGUUUCCGCCUAGCCUGUGCUUCUAGUUUGCCCUCCACAUGCACACACACUGACGUCAUCGCCCGCCUUUUCCUAGUGUGUCUUCGAGCUCUCUUCCUUAUUAGUGUGUGCCAAUGAACGCCUCUGAGGCAGCUCUCCUGGAACCGCUCGUCGCUGCUCGUCGAACCGGCGGAGUCGGAGGCAGCGACGCCCCUGUAUCCGGCGUUGAUGGCAACGGUGAUUCACAGCAACACAUAGGCUACUCCACAAAAAACUUGUCGAAGUCCAAUGCCCAUCCGCUGCCUAGAUUGCAGCCACCCACCAACGGCGAGUGGCGUGGGAUUCCAUCAUCGCUGUAUACGAACCUGCACCCCUGCAGCGGUGGCCGACCCAUGAUCAGUGAGCAAAGGACGCCUCUAAUGAGCGUCAACGAUUUGUACAACGCACCCCCGCACAUGAUUGGGGGGUUUAACGGCAGCGGCAACGGCGGCCCGCCGAUAAUGAGGCCGCCCUUGCCGCCGCCGGCGUUCAACAGCUCUGCCAGCUCUAGGCCGGCUCCACCGUCCAUGCACAGCUGUGGGCCGCAGCCUCCGGUGAGCCUCAAAAAAUCUCUUCGGACGAACGGGCCUGUAAAGCAGAUCGCCAUAUGUGGCAGCUCAGAGCCCGGAAGCACGCGCCUUCCGUCCUCGCAACUCCUACAGAGUCAGCGUGUCAUGUCCGUGGCGCGUGGCCCACAGCCAAGCUCAGUAGAGCCGACACGAUUGGCGAACGGCAAGAAGAUCAAGACAGAUAAACAGCGGCCGCAGGUUGCAGAGGCGAAGCCCGAGCACUACGCUUUCACCGGUCCGACGAAGAGCGCCAUGAAGAUACGCAAGGCGCAGCUCCAGCAGCAGAGGCGCGGCGCCAACUUGGGGAAGGAAAUCAAGACAACCGUAGGCAACGACAACUCGUGGAUGAAGGGGCUGACCUACUCGACCUGGGUAGACUCACCGAAAGGACCGUUGCACAAACUCGACCACGAGGGCCCAUAUAAGCGUCGGCCAAAGACCAAGAACAAUUCUAACAAGAAUAGGGGACGCAAGACUCGUAGCAACAUGGGCAAGACGAGCUUGCUUCUUGAGGCACUUCGCAACCUGUUCCGAUGAUAAGGAAUGUUUAUGUGUGCGGAAGAGGGGAGAGCGAGGGGGAGACUCAGAGUUAAGGGAGAAAAAAGAGGAGAAACUGAACGGCGGUCAUGGAAGACAACAGCAACCAAGCAGAUCCUCUGGGAAUGAGGUGAACGGGAGGGAAGUCACGUAAGCGAGUAGAGCGCCCAUGUAUAGUAGCCCUCCCCUCCCCCAAUGUGUGUGUAUUUAUGUGUACCUCGAUCUGUCUCUCUUCGCCUCUCGUCUUCCCCCCUCCCCUUACAGCCGCAGGAGGAGGUUAUCCCUGCAUCCUUCUUUGGUGUUCGUUUCCUGCCUUUUUUUUUCGCUGGUAGAGCUCUUUGCUCUCGCGAACCGGCGCGCCGCCCCCCCCCCUCUCCCUUCAUCCCUCCCCAUGCCCGCGCUUCUCAUCUACUCACCUGUUGUUCUGUCACUGGCUCAUGCCGUUUAUGCUCUCUGCCGGCCUUUACUCAAAUUGAUCCUCAUCAUUUCAGAAUCCUUUUCCUCGCCAUCUCUGUUUGUCUUCUACGUGCUGCUGGCGCGGCACACACACGCAUACACGCACGGGGCUCAUUGAUGUACACCGAGCGUAUGCGUGUGCCCCCUCCCCCACCCCUUUUUGUUUUCUUCACUGUAGCAGGCCGUCUGUUUUGUUUUGUUUUUUUUUUUGCAAGUACAUGGGCCUUGAUUGUUGUUGUCUUUUUCAAGGCUUUCUUUUGGUCCACUGUAUGUUGGCUCCUGUGCAGUCAAGCCGAGGCGCGUCCCCUCUGGAGAGGGGAGGGGAAGAAGGGGAAGGGGGCGCACACGCACGCAGACAGAUAGACUCAAACAGAAACAGAGAGGGGCGCGUCAGUGUCUCUCCUGCACCCCUCUCUUGGGUGCACUGCUCGUACCUUCUCUGUUUGUUUUACACUCGCUGCGUGUCUUCUCACUAAAAGACGCAUUUGCAUAUAUAUAUAUAUAUAUGUGUGUAUGUAUGUGUGUGUGCUGCUGUUGUUUGACUUGAUGGGGAUCCAUGUUCUCUGCUAUUCUUUCUCUGCGUUAUGGCGGCGUCCUACGUCUCCCCCUCCCCCUCUUCAUUGGUCUGUGUAUCGGUGCCCUUGGGUUUAUCUCUUCUUUUCGGAGUAUGUGCACACGGAUACCUUCGUCCUCUGUUUUCGUUUUUUGUUUUUGAAGGGGAAGAAGUUCCCUGUGCGCCCAUCACCGUCUGCUCUGAUUUCUUUAUUCUUGUGGUCUGCGUGUGUGUGCGUGUUUGUAUUGUCCGUCUCAUUUUCCACAAUUUUUUAUUCAGCUUGUGCUUCGCAUUCGUUUCGCGCUUGUUCCCGACUCCUCCCAUCCCUCUCGUCCUCCCCCUCUCCCUCCUGAUUACCACACACAAACAUAUAUAUGUACACCUCUUCCCUGGUAGCCCUUAUCCCUGAAGUCUCGAUGCGGCCUUGCUUUGGGUUCGCUUGUUUUCUUCUGCUCCUCACUCCCUCCCGUUGUGUCUCUCAACGUCGCGAGAAGUCGUUGGUGUGUGGGCGAGCAUGUGCUCAUGCGUGUCGGUUUUUUCACUGAAGGGAGAGGGGAAUUUACAGAUCUUCUCCACACUGUUUUGUUUGCUUGCGCGUUUUAUUUUUUUUUCAACGCUGUCUUACACCCUGAUGACGUGGGAACAGCUCCGCCCCGCAUCGGGAGUCAGAGACCCACUCUGUGAAGGAGUCGGAGCAGUGUAUCGCUAUUGGUGUCGGCGCUCAGGUGCUGGACGGUGUGAUGUCGGAGCGGCCUGGGUCAGCGUACACGUCUGUGCCAUCCAUGUGACAGGCAGAGCGUCAGCGUGACGCAAGCGCAUAUCCCACCCCCGCCCCUCGCGCUGCCUACAGCGGUGUGGGGAGGCCUGAGGUAUCCCUUGGGGGCGGGAGGGGGGGCGCACAUCAGGUGGCAGCCGGCAUGAUGGGAGAGCGACUGUGAGGCGGCCGGCAAAGCGAAGGCGAGUGGAGUUUGAGUCAGAGGCCGUGCUGAGCCGACCAAGUCGGCGCACUGCACUAGCGUGUGUGUCCACGGCUGCUUCGCACCACGUCACGUUGCCCGUGGCAGGCCGAGGGGCCCCAGUGGAGUUUGACUAAUUUUAUAGGACGGAGAAGGAGCACGUUGAAAACGGCAUACCUCUUGUACCUUGUAGCCUCAGCACGCCUGCACAGAGGCUUCCGUGUUCCCGUCAUACACCCUAAAGCACCAGCACGUGCACUUGAGCGCGCAUGUAGGGUGCGCAAUGGGGUGGGUGUGAGUGUGGGUGUGGGUGUGGG